CAAGGACUGGACUGAAAAUCAGUGGAACAGGUUUACUGAGAGAUAAAUCCAAACGUGAAAUGUUCUUGUUCUUAUUGUAUAGAGAAGAUUAGAGCAGAGAUACAACAGUGAGUGUCUACAAUUAUCUGGAAAACACAGUGGAGGAAACAGUGUGAAAUUUUUUAAGCAAAUGGAAUAAAAGGCAAAAUAUCCGAAGAAGAGCUUAGAAUUUCCCCCAGGAAGCACGGAGAACUACUCAUGAAGACUACUUCAAGAAAUGAUGUGAAAGCUUGCCUCGGAGAGUUCAGGUUGUGUUGAAAGAUAAACCUGAUCUUACCAAAUAGUGACUUUUAAGCUCGUCAGAACUGUACAAACUCUGUUUGUCGGAUUACUUUCAUAAGUGGCUUAUUUAUAUUUUUUAGAAAUAAUAUAAGAGAAUGUUAGAGCUGGAACCAAUGCUCGUGCAAGGCAGACGCUAUGUUUUGGAAGCACAAUGCAGCACAUCAGGCAAAAUGUAAUGAAGCAAAUAUAUUUCUUUUUUUUCUUUUUUUUAAAGUCGUUUUAAAUUUAAACCGUUUUUUUACUUAGUUUUUACUAAAUUUUGUUGUUGAUUUCAUUGUUGUGUUUGUCACAUUAGUUUUGAGCCAUUUUAAUAGUUUUUAAACUACACUAACCACAUUUUAAUCCAUAAAUAAACAAGGGCAUGGAGAUCAUCAGUCCGGCAUCCACAGUACCCUGACCCACCCUGAACUGCUGCAAGUGAGCCAAAUCCAUUGACCGGAGGCCAGUUAAGCAGCACCCACACAGGGAACAAAUCUGAACAUCUUCUUAUAUAACGUUCAAUACACAAGGAGCCUGUUUCAUAAAAUGAAACGUGUAAACACUGCACAGGCAGGUCCUACGGGGCUCUUCCAUGCUCAGACAUUAGCUAAAGUAUUUUUUGUUGCAUUGUGAAUCAUGGCUUUCAUAUUUCAAAUUCAGUAUGGCCUCAGGUUCACAGGCUUCAGGGAGUCUAUAUGUAACGGACAAAUGCAUGAGGAAAUUUUUAACUAUACAGGCUGUUAAUUUAGUCUAACUAAUUUAUUUUAUGGGUGUGAGUUUGAUAGUUUUCAGUAAUCUUAUUUUGAAAAGGCUUUUGUCUCCAGAAGCAUCCGUCUUCAGAGUAGCUUUUAGGGAAAGUGCUAGUUGUAUCCAUUAAACAUACUGGUUUGGGAGUGAAACAGUCACUGUGUUGUUCUUUACUGAACUCAUACUCUCCUUUAUUCAAGGUUACUUAAAAAUCUCCUCCUGUAGCCAGACAGCAGGUAGACAUUUUGCCACAUAACAAAUGUAGAAACUCAAAAUAUUCUCAUAAAUAUGUGAGCCCUGAUGGCAUCUCCCUAUUAGUUUUGUCAUUUGAAUAGUUUUGAAAAGCACAGGCUGCAGAUGCAACAUGAAGACCCUUCCGCUGCUAAAGAAU
Long non-coding RNA from Astatotilapia calliptera (eastern happy), 1438 nucleotides. The record is from Ensembl. Lineage: Eukaryota; Metazoa; Chordata; Actinopteri; Cichliformes; Cichlidae.